RNAcentral lists this microRNA precursor (206 nucleotides) under Oryza barthii. RNAcentral describes it as "MIR812 microRNA precursor family". It matches the Rfam family "MIR812 microRNA precursor family". The record is from Rfam by way of RNAcentral. Lineage: Eukaryota; Viridiplantae; Streptophyta; Magnoliopsida; Poales; Poaceae.
AAAAAGGCAAACCCUGGGUUUUCGUGUCCAACUUUGACUGUCCGUUUUAUAUGAAAUUUUUUUAUAAUUCAUAUUUUCAUUGUUGUUGGAUGAUAAAAUAUGAUUAAUAUUUUAUACGUGACUUGUCUUUUUAAUUUUUUUCAUAAUUUUUUUAAAUAAGACGGACGGUCAAACGUUGGACACGGAAACCAGUGUUUGUCUUUUUU